AAUCUACAUUCACAUCAGCAAAUGCAAGAAGAUCUGUUUUUCUAUCUCGUUACGGCUUAACCAGGAUUUUACUUACAUUUUGUCAAGAUUAAAACAACGUGUAAUAAUUUCCUGAAUGGGAAGGUUUGCCUGCAAUUUUCGACAGGCAGAAUUUCCUGUGAAACAAAUAUUAAUCUCUCCAAUUCUGAAAGUGACAGAUGGAGUUUCAGGGAAGUUAUACAACUUGGCCAAGACCACGGAGUUAGUUAGUGUAGUGCUUAGAUUUAGUUCAGGACGUGGCAAGCAGGAACCCACCAUGUAUUUAGGGUGUGCGUGUGGAAGAGGCAGUGCUGAAGUUCAAACCUGAUUCCCAUGCUGUGGUGUGCAGAAUAAUGGCUCCGGAAAGGUGUCCAAGUCCUAAUCCCCGGGACCUGCAAAUAUGUUACCUUCUGUGGCAAAUGGGACUCUGCAGAUGUGAUUUCAAAACGAGAAGAUUAUCUGGGAUUAUCCAGGUGGGGCCAGUGUAAAUUACAAGCGUCCAGAGAAGGGAAGGAGGGAGGCAGGAGGGUCAGAAUCGGAGAAAAGGAUGUGACAGUGAAAGCAGGUGUUGGGAUGAUGUGGAAGAGACCAUGAGCCAAGGAAUGCAAGCUUUAAAAGCCAGAAAAGGCAAGGAAAUGAAUUCUGUCCUAAAACCUUCUUAAGGAGCAUGCAGCCUUGCUAACCUAUACUAUAGACUUCUGCCCUCCAGAACUAGGAGAUAAUGAAUUUAUGUUGUUUCCAGCCACGAAAUUCAUGGCAGCUACUUACAGCAACAAUGGGAAACAUACACAGUCACUCACUAUUUCCAUGACACUGAGCUCUUAAGAUAUCCCCAGCAGACCAAAACCAAACAGAACAAAACAGAGUAGAGAAUAGUGAAGCAAUAAUUUUGGAGGGGCAGUGGUCAACAUACACAUAAAAUUUAAAUACUUGUAUAGAUACAUAUACACACGAAGAUAUAUUCACUCAAUAAACACUUUUUGGGCACCUGCUACACGUCAGGCAGCAAACCAAAUGCUGGAGGUUCAUCAGUAAACAAAGCAGGUGAAAUUUUUGCCACCAUAGAAUUUAUCGUAUUCGAGCGGGAGCUUGUGUACAAAAAUGUUUAUUCAUCAGAUCAUUUUGUGAACUAUCAUUAUUUCUCAGAUAUUGCUCCUAAAUGUCCAAAGAAGGAGGCUAGUUAAAUUCUCUUCAUACAUCUCUACUGAGCGGAAUAUCAUAUGGCUAUUAAAAGGUGUAUGUGGCAAGCUAUCUCGUGCGUGUUAUUAUAUGCUGAAAAAAAGCAGUUACAAGACAAUAAUGUCUAGUACGGUCCCAUUUGUCUAAAAACAUUAGCAAAAAACCAAUGCUUUCCCAUGACUGCUUAGAAAAGCUCUGGAAUUAAAUCUCUUAGCAAAAGCGAUUGUUCCUGGGGAGGCGAAAUGAGUGGCCAGCAUCGCACUAAGACCUUUACUUUCCCGUUGAUUCCCUUCCAUGAUGUUGGUCUUGCUUACCAUGAACAUAUAUUGCUUGUAUAAUAAAAAUGAAGCCAAAACCAA
Molecule: long non-coding RNA, 1556 nt
Organism: Leopardus geoffroyi (Geoffroy's cat)
Lineage: Eukaryota; Metazoa; Chordata; Mammalia; Carnivora; Felidae
Exons: 2
Source: RefSeq, a predicted model, not a curated record